CCUACGGGCGUCUGCAGUGGGGAAUAUUGGACAAUGGGGGCAACCCUGAUCCAGCCAUGCCGCGUGUGUGAAGAAGGCCCUCGGGUUGUAAAGCACUUUCAGUGAGGAAGAACGCCUGGUGGUUAAUACCCAUCAGGAAAGACAUCACUCACAGAAGAAGCACCGGCUAACUCCGUGCCAGCAGCCGCGGUAAUACGGAGGGUGCGAGCGUUAAUCGGAAUUACUGGGCGUAAAGCGCGCGUAGGUGGCUUGAUAAGCCGGUUGUGAAAGCCCCGGGCUCAACCUGGGAACGGCAUCCGGAACUGUCAAGCUAGAGUGCAGGAGAGGAAGGUAGAAUUCCCGGUGUAGCGGUGAAAUGCGUAGAGAUCGGGAGGAAUACCAGUGGCGAAGGCGGCCUUCUGGACUGACACUGACACUGAGGUGCGAAAGCGUGGGUAGCAAACAGGAUUAGAUACCCGAGUAGUC
Molecule: ribosomal RNA, 465 nt
Filed under: Vreelandella stevensii
Lineage: Bacteria; Pseudomonadati; Pseudomonadota; Gammaproteobacteria; Oceanospirillales; Halomonadaceae
Description: partial 16S ribosomal RNA
Rfam family: Bacterial small subunit ribosomal RNA
Source: RNAcentral